Molecule: transfer RNA, 75 nt
Filed under: Thermoflavimicrobium dichotomicum
Lineage: Bacteria; Bacillati; Bacillota; Bacilli; Caryophanales; Thermoactinomycetaceae
Rfam family: tRNA
About the family: Transfer RNA (tRNA) molecules are approximately 80 nucleotides in length.
Source: Rfam by way of RNAcentral
CGGGCUAUGGCGCAGCUUGGUUAGCGCGCUUGCAUGGGGCGCAAGAGGUCGUCAGUUCAAAUCUGGCUAGCCCGA